Lampris incognitus (smalleye Pacific opah) is the source of this 1074-nucleotide long non-coding RNA. RefSeq lists it as uncharacterized. NCBI's taxonomy places the organism in Eukaryota, Metazoa, Chordata, Actinopteri, Lampriformes, Lampridae. The transcript has 6 exons. The record is from RefSeq and is a predicted model, not a curated record.
AGGUUGGAUUUAACCAUCCGGCCAAUGUCCACUCCGGCAGAACGCUGUUGUCUCUCCUCGCCAAAUGAUGAAUAAGGAGGACGAGCAGCGAGCUUUGACAGAGGGGAGUGUCCCGACGAUCAUGACCGCUCUCAUCUGUGGCUGCCAAUCAAAAAGCAAAGGAAUAUGAUGCAGGGUGUGCAUGACACUCUCUGUAAGCGCAUAGAGACGAAAUCACCAUCAACACAGCAGGACUAAACCUCAGUUUUACAGAGAAACACCAUUGUAAAAGUCCAAUCAGAUAAAAAUGUGCCUAAAUCUCAUCCUGUAGGACAAUGAAUAAGAGCUGGAAUAAAAUCGUCUGAAAGUGUCACAAUGUCUUACGAACGGAUUCUAUCCAUCCAAAGUUUGAGUGAGGUGCCAAACCCAUGGAAGGGAUUCACAAUGAAUCGCUGCCUAGUACUGGCACUAAUUGUUGUAGUUGUGAGCUCUGGUGUGAAUAACAUACAUGAUGCGUUGGAUUCCUUCCUUGAUGAAACAGACCUGGGAAUCAUGUCUUAUGUUGGGAGUCUACAAGAUGGUUCUACAGCACAGGGCUCUCUGUGGGACAGUCUGCUGUGGUGGAGUUGGGGAUCUGAGGAAGUUGGAGUGAUACGAAGAAGAAAAAAGCCAAUCACCGCAAAAGGAAUUUUGAAACCCAAAAAAUAAGGAAAUCAAAACGUGACCGGCUGCGAAAAGAAAAGUGAAAACAUCAUUCAAUGGGAUGGGGAGUCAAAGAGGCCAUCUAUGUGAAGAGGGAACGAUCAUCCCUGAACCUGAGUGGGAAGGGGGGGGGGCUAAGAGUACAACUGUCGCCAUCUUAUACUGCUGUGAUUGCAACCAUUCCCCAAUCCUCUGUGAAAAGUACACAUUGCCAUUGUACUAGUUAAUGGUCAUGGCAAUUUGCAUAUGAAACUGAUGGUUGGUUUGGGUCGUCAUGCCACUGUAUUGUUUAUAAGGGUGGGGAUACCUGCAGUCGGCUGACACUGAAGAGGUCACUUAGAUGAGUGACGACACGUUUCUCUCUCAAUAAAUGUUGUGUCCAGACGAACUGAU